RNAcentral lists this ribosomal RNA (767 nucleotides) under Vibrio vulnificus. RNAcentral's name for it is "partial 23S ribosomal RNA". It matches the Rfam family "Bacterial large subunit ribosomal RNA", at positions 2184 to 2925 of the family's 2925-position model. The record is from RNAcentral. Lineage: Bacteria; Pseudomonadati; Pseudomonadota; Gammaproteobacteria; Vibrionales; Vibrionaceae.
AGCCGUCCUUGAAAUACCACCCUUGUAUGUUUGAUGUUCUAACGUUGGCCCCUAAUCGGGGUUGCGGACAGUGCCUGGUGGGUAGUUUGACUGGGGCGGUCUCCUCCCAAAGAGUAACGGAGGAGCACGAAGGUGGGCUAAUCACGGUUGGACAUCGUGAGGUUAGUGCAAUGGCAUAAGCCCGCUUAACUGCGAGAAUGACGGUUCGAGCAGGUGCGAAAGCAGGUCAUAGUGAUCCGGUGGUUCUGAAUGGAAGGGCCAUCGCUCAACGGAUAAAAGGUACUCCGGGGAUAACAGGCUGAUACCGCCCAAGAGUUCAUAUCGACGGCGGUGUUUGGCACCUCGAUGUCGGCUCAUCACAUCCUGGGGCUGAAGUCGGUCCCAAGGGUAUGGCUGUUCGCCAUUUAAAGUGGUACGCGAGCUGGGUUUAGAACGUCGUGAGACAGUUCGGUCCCUAUCUGCCGUGGGCGUUGGAAGAUUGAAGGGGGCUGCUCCUAGUACGAGAGGACCGGAGUGGACGAACCUCUGGUGUUCGGGUUGUGUCGCCAGACGCAUUGCCCGGUAGCUAAGUUCGGAAUCGAUAACCGCUGAAAGCAUCUAAGCGGGAAGCGAGCCCUGAGAUGAGUCUUCCCUGAUACUUUAAGUAUCCUAAAGGGUUGUUCGAGACUAGAACGUUGAUAGGCAGGGUGUGUAAGCGCUGUGAGGCGUUGAGCUAACCUGUACUAAUUGCCCGUGAGGCUUAACCAUACAACACCCAAAGGGUUUUG